CGGAUUACGGUGGCGGCCUA
RNAcentral lists this non-coding RNA (20 nucleotides) under Arabidopsis thaliana (thale cress). The record is from RNAcentral. Lineage: Eukaryota; Viridiplantae; Streptophyta; Magnoliopsida; Brassicales; Brassicaceae.